Molecule: microRNA precursor, 145 nt
Filed under: Physcomitrium patens
Lineage: Eukaryota; Viridiplantae; Streptophyta; Bryopsida; Funariales; Funariaceae
Description: Physcomitrella patens miR1045 stem-loop (ppt-MIR1045)
Source: miRBase by way of RNAcentral
GAAGCGAUAAUGGGUGCACCCUCAACACGAAGUGCUGGCUUUUUGACGUUUUGCUACUAAAUGAAUAACCGUGCAGGUUAAAUUCACUAGCAGCAAGACGUCAAACAACCAGCACUUCGCCUUCAGGGCAACUAGUGUGUAUCGG